This 253-nucleotide ribosomal RNA is filed under the name uncultured bacterium. RNAcentral's name for it is "partial 16S ribosomal RNA". It matches the Rfam family "Bacterial small subunit ribosomal RNA", at positions 524 to 776 of the family's 1533-position model. The record is from RNAcentral.
UACGUAGGGUGCAAGCGUUGUCCGGAAUUAUUGGGCGUAAAGAGCUCGUAGGCGGUCUGUCGCGUCGGCUGUGAAAACCCGGGGCUCAACCCCGGGCCUGCAGUCGAUACGGGCAGACUAGAGUGCGGUAGGGGAGACUGGAAUUCCUGGUGUAGCGGUGAAAUGCGCAGAUAUCAGGAGGAACACCGACGGCGAAGGCAGCACUCUGGGCCGGUACUGACGCUGAGGAGCGAAAGCAUGGGGAGCGAACAGG